This 314-nucleotide long non-coding RNA is filed under the name Selaginella moellendorffii. RNAcentral describes it as "long non-coding RNA (SMOE_LNC002203)". The record is from RNAcentral. Lineage: Eukaryota; Viridiplantae; Streptophyta; Lycopodiopsida; Selaginellales; Selaginellaceae.
AAGAGGCCGGCCUCCAAAUUCCUCAAGCCCGAGAGCGCCAUCCAUUUGAUCCCACUCGUCCUCUUCAUCUGCGCUUUGAUCCUCUGGGCGAGUAGCACAUCCGUCGUUCGCUAGCCAGGUAAGCGAUCUAAAAAGUUUUUCUAGCGCCAGGGAUCCAUCUCUCACGAGGAAUGCUCAUGUGUUCUUCUAGGGAGCGAUCCAUUAGCGUAAAUGUUUGACAUAAGAACGAAAGCGGCAGCGCUGUUCUCUUCCCGGAGCUUAUCAAAUGCCAGCUCUCCAACGCUCAGAUCGUUCCACUUCCACGACGCUCCCAG